GCCCCGGCUAACUUCGUGCCAGCAGCCGCGGUAAUACGAGGGGGGCAAGCGUUGUUCGGAUUUAUUGGGCGUAAGGGGUGCGUAGGCGGUUUGGCAAGUCUUGUGUGAAAUCUUUGGGCUCAACCCGUAGUCUGCACAAGAAACUGCCGGGCUUGAGUAUUGGAGAGGUGAGUGGAAUUUCCGGUGUAGCGGUGAAAUGCGUAGAUAUCGGAAGGAACACCUGUGGCGAAAGCGGCUCACUGGACCAUUACUGACGCUGAGGCACGAAAGCUAGGGGAGCAAACAGGAUU
Molecule: ribosomal RNA, 290 nt
Filed under: Mucilaginibacter sp. SF-1
Lineage: Bacteria; Pseudomonadati; Bacteroidota; Sphingobacteriia; Sphingobacteriales; Sphingobacteriaceae
Description: partial 16S ribosomal RNA
Rfam family: Bacterial small subunit ribosomal RNA
Source: RNAcentral